UGGCUUUCAUGUUGUGGGUGGCACUAGGUAGAUAACCCACAGGAAUCGUCUCUGGAUCUGAGGUCAGGAGAACACAGCCAAGGCUACACAAGACAGAGAAGAUUCUGCUGAAUUUCAAAAGAGUCUCUCUUGCCCAGCCUGGAGUGCAAUGGCAUGAUCUCGGUUCACUGCAACCUCUGCCUCACUGGUUCAAGCAAUUCUCCUGCUUCAGCCUCCCGAGUAGCUGGUGCUAUAGACUCAGCCCGCCUGCACCCAGGUGAAAUAAACAGCCUUGUUGCUCACAUAAAGCCUGUUUGGUGGUCUCUUCACAUGGACGUGAGUGAAAUCAAGUGAAAUUUGGGCCGUGACUCAGAUCGGGGGACCUCCCUUGGGAGAUCAACCCCCUGUCCUCCUGCUCUUUACUCCAUGAGAA
Long non-coding RNA from Pan troglodytes (chimpanzee), 412 nucleotides. RefSeq lists it as uncharacterized. Lineage: Eukaryota; Metazoa; Chordata; Mammalia; Primates; Hominidae. The record is from RefSeq and is a predicted model, not a curated record. The transcript is spliced from 3 exons.